This 371-nucleotide ribosomal RNA is filed under the name uncultured organism. Its description in RNAcentral is "bacterial SSU rRNA". It matches the Rfam family "Bacterial small subunit ribosomal RNA", at positions 527 to 896 of the family's 1533-position model. The record is from RNAcentral.
CGGGGGGGCAAGCGUUGUUCGGAAUUACUGGGCGUAAAGGGCGCGUAGGCGGUCUGUUAAGUCGGAUGUGAAAACUCUGGGCUCAACCCAGAGCCUGCAUCCGAAACUGGCAGGCUAGAGUUCUGGAGGGGGUAGCGGAAUUCCUGGUGUAGCGGUGAAAUGCGUAGAUAUCAGGAGGAACACCGGUGGCGAAGGCGGCUACCUGGACAGAAACUGACGCUGAGGCGCGAAAGCUAGGGGAGCAAACAGGAUUAGAUACCCUGGUAGUCCUAGCCCUAAACGAUGGAUACUUGGUGUGACUGGGAUUGAAUCCAGUCGUGCCGAAGCUAACGCAUUAAGUAUCCCGCCUGGGGAGUACGGUCGCAAGGCUG